AAACUCAAAGGAAUUGACGGGGCCCGCACAAGCGGUGGAGCAUGUGGUUUAAUUCGACGCAACGCGAAAACCUUACCUGGGCUUGACAUGCCGGAACCCGAUGGAAACAUUGGGGUGCCCCGUAAGGGGAACCCGGACACAGGUGCUGCAUGGCUGUCGUCAGCUCGUGCCGUGAGGUGUUGGGUUAAGUCCCGCAACGAGCGCAACCCUCAUCCUUAGUUGCCAGCAUUUAAGGUGGGCACUCUAAGGAAACUGCCGCAGUUAAUGCGGAGGAAGGUGGGGAUGACGUCAAGUCCUCAUGGCCCUUAUGUCCAGGGCUACGCACGUGCUACAAUGGGCGGUACAAAGGGUCGCGAACCUGUAAGGGGGAGCUAACCCCAGAAAACCGUUCUCAGUUCGGAUUGGAGUCUGCAACCCGACUCCAUGAAGUUGGAAUCGCUAGUAAUCGCGGAUCAGAACGCCGCGGUGAAUACGUUCCCGGGCCUU
This 486-nucleotide ribosomal RNA is filed under the name uncultured Syntrophorhabdus sp. Its description in RNAcentral is "bacterial SSU rRNA". It matches the Rfam family "Bacterial small subunit ribosomal RNA", at positions 897 to 1382 of the family's 1533-position model. Lineage: Bacteria; Pseudomonadati; Thermodesulfobacteriota; Syntrophorhabdia; Syntrophorhabdales; Syntrophorhabdaceae. The record is from RNAcentral.